UCACCAGAGUCCUACAGCUGACGCCUGCA
Molecule: non-coding RNA, 29 nt
Filed under: Homo sapiens (human)
Lineage: Eukaryota; Metazoa; Chordata; Mammalia; Primates; Hominidae
Source: RNAcentral